CACAUCUUUUUUAUAUAGAUGGGUUUUGUUCUAUUCUUACAUGUCUAAAUUUUAAGUCUGCAUGCUUAACCAAAAAUGUUAUAACUGGAAUCCUAGCAAAAUAAACUGCAUUCACAUUCGAAUACUCCAGGUUUACAACAAGAAAACUUUGUUUGCAUAUACAUGUAAUUAUAUAAAUCCCCUACUUUCAUGAAAUUUUAUAAUGACCUUUUCUCCCAGAAACCUCAAUGGUCUGAACCCUAUGCGGAUGACAUAUUUCUCUGGUCCACAAAUUUUCAAAUCUAUUACAUGAUAAAAGUACCAUGAGCUAUGCCUUUAGUUACAUUCAUAAUUAAUUUUCAGCCUGAAAAAGGGGGGGGGGUGUCAUUGUUUUGUUCUUGGACACGGAUAUUGUUUUGAAAUUUAUUUACGCUUAAAGGUUAUUUUUCAGUGGUCGUGAAUUGCUCUUUGAACUUGUAUAUUCAAUUCAUUAGUGCUUACUUGUCAGUUUAAAUUUCCCCCUUUUCAUGAAUUGUUUACAUCAUCUUUCGCCAGUUUGUCGGACCUUCUCUAGUGUAAGACAAGGGUGAAACUGCUUCAUAAGCUACCAAAAUGAAGAUCGUUAUCUAUAAUUUCGAUCUGCAUUACAGUAUUCAUGAAAAGCAGUCCACUUUUGAUAAAUGUGAGUUAUUCUCUUUUCAUUCUUCUCCUUCGUCAAAAACAUGCUUCAUAUUUAUUUUUAGAACGGAAGUACUAUUUCAACAAUGACAAUUGUAAGAAUAAAUUUUAUUAAGUUUUAAAAUUGCAUUUAAAAGUUAUUCAACUCUUUCUCAAUGCAUUUGAAUAAAACAGAUUAUUAAAAUGAUCAUAUUUUACUGUUAUGGAAAAUUACGACAAUGUACAUCACUUACGAUAUCAAUGCGCAACUUUAUGCGCAGACGGCGCGAAAAUUUAAACCCCCGAACUACCUUAAU
Molecule: long non-coding RNA, 953 nt
Filed under: Mytilus galloprovincialis (Mediterranean mussel)
Lineage: Eukaryota; Metazoa; Mollusca; Bivalvia; Mytilida; Mytilidae
Source: RNAcentral